Molecule: long non-coding RNA, 217 nt
Filed under: Elaeis guineensis (African oil palm)
Lineage: Eukaryota; Viridiplantae; Streptophyta; Magnoliopsida; Arecales; Arecaceae
Description: long non-coding RNA (EGUI_LNC022514)
Source: RNAcentral
CGCUAGCCGUCCAUAUUGACCGCCACACAAAGUCUCUCUUACGUCAUUUUGUUCGUACACUGUCGACGCGUGAUCGAGUGAGCCGAGUCUCGCCUCACUUGCUGGCAGGGGUUAUAUCUUUUGCGCGAAAAUGGUAUUAAUCUUCCUUCGAGCGAAUCUACCGUUGGAUCUCGCAACGGCCACAUCCAAAUCAGCGCUGACGCAUAAGAGAAGACGU